CCGCCCCUAGAAUCCCUUCGUCUCAAACUCUCUCUAGCCCCUCUGAAAUCCUAGCCUUCUCCCACCGAUUUCCACCAUGUUUCAUCGGAAUCCAUGGCAUCCCCAAUCCAUAGGUGGCCUAUACUCACCUCCGCGUGCUCUUGUACAACUGCUACUGGAAGAUUCAAGGUCUGACCUUGAAGUUUUUCGUUCAGAUCGUCGUCGAUUCAAGUUUCACGGCCAUCUCCGGCAUGUCCUGGUUCUAUGAGCCUAUCUCUGGCUCACCUGUCUCUGAGCAGACCCUUUUUCAGG
Molecule: long non-coding RNA, 291 nt
Filed under: Nicotiana benthamiana
Lineage: Eukaryota; Viridiplantae; Streptophyta; Magnoliopsida; Solanales; Solanaceae
Description: long non-coding RNA (NBEN_LNC030887)
Source: RNAcentral